GUUUGUUCUAUUAUCAUGUGCAUGUAUAUUUUAAUGUUACAUCACUUCCCAUGCUUCAGGGGGCGGGUGACCAAUGGUAGACAUGCUAAAUAUGGUUUCACUCUGUUAAUGGCAAGCACGGAGCCUUCAAUUCAGGGAUGUUUUUGGUUGCUGUCACAAUUUUUGACUUGUAUUGUUUUGACAUCAGCAAACUUUAACCGUUUG
RNAcentral lists this long non-coding RNA (204 nucleotides) under Mytilus galloprovincialis (Mediterranean mussel). The record is from RNAcentral. Lineage: Eukaryota; Metazoa; Mollusca; Bivalvia; Mytilida; Mytilidae.